This 86-nucleotide transfer RNA is filed under the name Ruminococcaceae bacterium CPB6. It matches the Rfam family "tRNA". From Rfam's summary of the family: Transfer RNA (tRNA) molecules are approximately 80 nucleotides in length. Their secondary structure includes four short double-helical elements and three loops (D, anti-codon, and T loops). Further hydrogen bonds mediate the characteristic L-shaped molecular structure. tRNAs have two regions of fundamental functional importance: the anti-codon, which is responsible for specific mRNA codon recognition, and the 3' end, to which the tRNAs corresponding amino acid is attached (by aminoacyl-tRNA synthetases). tRNAs cope with the degeneracy of the genetic code in two manners: having more than one tRNA (with a specific anti-codon) for a particular amino acid; and 'wobble' base-pairing, i.e. permitting non-standard base-pairing at the 3rd anti-codon position. The record is from Rfam by way of RNAcentral. Lineage: Bacteria; Bacillati; Bacillota; Clostridia; Eubacteriales; Oscillospiraceae.
GGAGACGUAUCGAAGUGGUCAUAACGGGACUGACUCGAAAUCAGUUGGACCUCCGGGUCCCGUGGGUUCGAAUCCCACCGUCUCCG